GAUGAACGCUGGCGGCGUGCCUAAUACAUGCAAGUCGAGCGAACAGACGAGGAGCUUGCUCCUCUGACGUUAGCGGCGGACGGGUGAGUAACACGUGGAUAACCUACCUAUAAGACUGGGAUAACUUCGGGAAACCGGAGCUAAUACCGGAUAAUAUAUUGAACCGCAUGGUUCAAUAGUGAAAGACGGUUUUGCUGUCACUUAUAGAUGUAUCCGCGCCGCAUUAGCUAGUUGGUAAGGUAACGGCUUACCAAGGCAACGAUGCGUAGCCGACCUGAGAGGGUGAUCGGCCACACUGGAACUGAGACACGGUCCAGACUCCUACGGGAGGCAGCAGUAGGGAAUCUUCCGCAAUGGGCGAAAGCCUGACGGAGCAACGCCGCGUGAGUGAUGAAGGUCUUCGGAUCGUAAAACUCUGUUAUUAGGGAAGAACAAAUGUGUAAGUAACUAUGCACGUCUUGACGGUACCUAAUCAGAAAGCAACGGCUAACUACGUG
Molecule: ribosomal RNA, 497 nt
Filed under: uncultured bacterium
Lineage: Bacteria
Description: partial 16S ribosomal RNA
Rfam family: Bacterial small subunit ribosomal RNA
Source: RNAcentral